AUGUUUAUUGUUGUUUUGUUAAUUGUACAGAACGAGGACGCAUCCAAGGUUGAGAAUAGGGUGUGAAACCCCUUCAGAUCCAAGCUAGCUGCUACUGUGCUCGGUGGUGUGGACAACAUCUGGAUUGCUCCUGGAACACGUGUGCUAACCGUGUCUCGUGUGUCUGACAUUGUUGGACCGACAGGGUUGGUGUAUGCCGUUGAGUUCUCUCACGAGUGGUAGGGAUCUUGUCAACAUGGCCAAGAAGAGGACCAAUGUCAUCCCCAUCACUGA
RNAcentral lists this ribosomal RNA (273 nucleotides) under Triticum aestivum (bread wheat). RNAcentral describes it as "partial small subunit ribosomal RNA". The record is from RNAcentral. Lineage: Eukaryota; Viridiplantae; Streptophyta; Magnoliopsida; Poales; Poaceae.